Molecule: unclassified non-coding RNA, 117 nt
Organism: Papio anubis (olive baboon)
Lineage: Eukaryota; Metazoa; Chordata; Mammalia; Primates; Cercopithecidae
Rfam family: Metazoan signal recognition particle RNA
About the family: The signal recognition particle (SRP) is a universally conserved ribonucleoprotein. It is involved in the co-translational targeting of proteins to membranes. The eukaryotic SRP consists of a 300-nucleotide 7S RNA and six proteins: SRPs 72, 68, 54, 19, 14, and 9.
Source: Ensembl
GCCAGGCGUGGUGGCUCACGCCUGUAAUCCCAGCACUUUGGGAGGCUGAGGUGGGUGGAUCACUUGAGGUCAGGAGUUUGAGACCAGCCUGGCCAACAUGGUGAAACCCCGUCUCUA